UACUACACUCGGUCUCAUGACAUACGAAUUAUACGAAACGAGUGUCAGAUAACAUAGGAAGGUCACGAUUUCGUAUAAUUCGCAUGUCAUGAGACCGAGUGUGGGUAUUUAUUUAUUACCCUCGUCUUACAUGCAUUGUAAUUGACAAAAU
This is a long non-coding RNA of Haliotis rubra (blacklip abalone), 151 nucleotides long. RefSeq lists it as uncharacterized. The transcript has 2 exons. NCBI's taxonomy places the organism in Eukaryota, Metazoa, Mollusca, Gastropoda, Lepetellida, Haliotidae. The record is from RefSeq and is a predicted model, not a curated record.